Molecule: non-coding RNA, 231 nt
Organism: Pelobates cultripes (western spadefoot toad)
Lineage: Eukaryota; Metazoa; Chordata; Amphibia; Anura; Pelobatidae
Source: the annotation of a GenBank genome assembly
CGGUGGGAGAGGGAGAACGGAGAGACACUGACUACACAGGAGUGGGAAAAAUUACAUUUAAAUUGCUUACUAACUGGCGUAGGACUCCUGACGUCCUGCACCGCAUGAGCGCAGACAAUUCAGAGGUGUGCUGAAGGUGUGGGUCAGACUUUGGCACCAUACUCCACAUCUGGUGGUCAUGGCCUACAAUUUCCCCCUUCUGUGCGAUUAGGGAGAUCUCAGACCCUGAAC